UUAUCCGGAUAUAUUGGGUUUAAAGGGUGCGUANGCGGUUUGAUAAGUUAGAGGUGAAAUCCCGGGGCUUAACUCCGGAACUGCCUCUAAUACUGUUAGACUAGAGAGUAGUUGCGGUAGGCGGAAUGUAUGGUGUAGCGGUGAAAUGCUUAGAGAUCAUACAGAACACCGAUUGCGAAGGCAGCUUACCAAACUAUAUCUGACGUUGAGGCACGAAAGCGUGGGGAGCAAACAGGAUUAGAUACCCUGGUAGUCCACGCAGUAAACGAUGAUAACUCGUUGUCGGCGAUACACAGUCGGUGACUAAGCGAAAGCGAUAAGUUAUCCACCUGGGGAGUACGUUCGCAAGAAUGAAACUCAAAGGAAUUGACGGGGGCCCGCACAAGCGGAGGAACAUGUGGUUUAAUUCGAUGAUACGUGAGGAA
This 425-nucleotide ribosomal RNA is filed under the name uncultured bacterium. RNAcentral's name for it is "bacterial SSU rRNA". It matches the Rfam family "Bacterial small subunit ribosomal RNA", at positions 541 to 968 of the family's 1533-position model. The record is from RNAcentral.